RNAcentral lists this ribosomal RNA (562 nucleotides) under Ixodiphagus hookeri. RNAcentral's name for it is "partial large subunit ribosomal RNA". Lineage: Eukaryota; Metazoa; Arthropoda; Insecta; Hymenoptera; Encyrtidae. The record is from RNAcentral.
GUUGAAAAGAACUUUGAAGAGAGAGUUCAAGAGUACGUGAAACCGUUCAGGGGUAAACCUGAGAAACCCAAAAGAUCGAAUGGGGAGAUUCAGCGUUCAACGGCCCGUCUGGCUUGCGUGCGACGUCACGAUGUCGCGGUGUUAUGCGCCCUCGCCGGUGUGUAUAUACCGUGACACGUCGUCGCUGCGUCAUGACCGGCGCCGUCGGCGUGCACUUCUCCCCUAGUAGAACGUCGCGACCCGUUGUGCGUCGGCCAAAGGCUCGAAGGGUAGACUAUCGCGCUCUCUCCCCGGAGGGCGCGGCAGACCCUCGAAAGCCCGGCCCGACUGCUCGACGGUAUUCGAAUAUCACAAGGUGUGUAAUCGAGAGCCGCAUUUGAAUGCGUUCGGCGCGCCGGUCGGCUUCGGCUCGCUCGGUUAUUUUACGGACCUGGAUGCCGUUACUGGGCGCUUGCCGAGGCUUUUUGUACCGACGACGAUCUCGAACCGGCUCUGCGCGCGCGAAAGCGUUCGCGCUCUCGCGCGCUCACCUGUCGGCGACGCUUUUGCUUUGGGUACUUUC